This 302-nucleotide long non-coding RNA is filed under the name Capsicum annuum. RNAcentral's name for it is "long non-coding RNA (CANN_LNC008435)". Lineage: Eukaryota; Viridiplantae; Streptophyta; Magnoliopsida; Solanales; Solanaceae. The record is from RNAcentral.
CCUAGAAGCAGUACUUGUGUUCCAGAACCACGUAGCGAGCAUAGGUUAAGACAUCAACCUUAUAGAUUUAGGGUUGUUAAGGUGUUUUACAUGCCAGAUUGAGGGUACCACCAUUCUUAUUCAGUGCACCUGCCAAAUUGAGGAUGACUUUUCAACUUGUCUUUACCCGUGGCAUGGUACUAACACUCUUCCAGCUUGGAUUACAGGUUGGACCCCAAUUAGUUUAGAGAGAGGCAUGUCAGUUAGAUGAUUAAUUCCUACAGUUUUAGUUUCAAACUUAGUAUAGAACUCAGUUCAGUUUU